Chrysemys picta bellii (western painted turtle) is the source of this 4135-nucleotide non-coding RNA. NCBI's taxonomy places the organism in Eukaryota, Metazoa, Chordata, Testudines, Emydidae. The record is from RefSeq and is a predicted model, not a curated record.
UGCAGGGGCACAGAAUUUCCCCAGGAGUAGCAUGUGCACUGACAGGCAGGGGAACUGUGGAAAUAAAUAGUAAGAGUCUCUGCUUACAAUCAUAUUUCCCACACAUAAGUGAGGUCAAUUAAAGUUUCAUGGGCAACUCUUAAAUCUGACAUUUCCUAACUUUUGAAAACUUGACUUUACAAUCUUAACAUUCUUUUCAUAUUGAUUUUUUAAACGUAAUUUCCUGACUUUACAAAAAUCUGGAAAAAAUCUAAAAAUUCCAUCAUGUGGAACCAUACUGACCCUCAGCUUGGGUUAUCAGCAGUGUUUGGACCUUUAUAGCAUAGACCACUACCACUUAGCUAAUGGGGUAACUGGUGGUAGUAGUAGAAGACUAAAUAUGGGGAUCAGCUACUAGAGGGGGACGAGACUCACACUGUGCCUGGGGUUUCACAUAUAUAUGCUGACAAUAGAAAUACAUAGAGUCUCGGGACUUUUGGUUCAGUUCCAGGUUCUGGAGAGUAGUGUGUUUUUCCAAAGUUAUAGAUCCUUCUGUCCCUGUAUCCUCCACAAGUUUAUCUCUGUACACCUUUCUUCCUAUCUAUCCAUUCCCAGCUCCUGUCCUCUCCUCCUCAGCUAUAAUCUUCCCUCUGAUUCAUGUCCACCUUCCCCUUCUCCUGCUUCCCUAACUGGCUCCUAUCUCCCACUGCUUCCCCCCUUUGGUUCCUGCAACACUGUCUCCCUCAUGUCUCACUCCUCUUCAUUCUAAGCCAGGCUACUUUCUUCUUCUGCUCACUACCUGGCACUAGGAGCACGAGAGAGUCUCCCUGUUCUCAUUUCUGGAGUCUACUGCUCCUGUGAAUUGUAGGGAAAGUCCUGCUCAGCCCAGCCCCUGCAGUCCCAUGGUGGAGUACACACAGUGCAAUCUGCACAAGGAGCUGUGAAGGGCUGGGGCAUUCUCAGUGCAGACAGAAUCUUUGGAGACUUUAGCAGCCAUACUCUAACAAGUUGCCCUUGAUUAUGUGUGAGCUGAGAUUUUUUAAAAGGCUCAUACCGUGUGAAAAUAUGCCCAGUUUUUCAUGGGAACAGUAAAAGCCACAUCCUGACACACACCCCGCAGACAAAUUUCAAGUCCCUGCUCCAAAGCAUGGAGACACUAGAGCAUCUAAAAAAAUAAUGCACUGGUUGUAAGAAUAAUGUAAGAAAAACAAUGGAUUUUUCCCUAAUCUCACCCGCAGAAAUAGCUCAAUUGUUUUGGCUGAAACUUUCAAAAACAAAAGCAACCCCCCUCCCAAAAAAUAUUCAGCCUGAGGCAAGCACCCAGAGUGGAAAAUUUCAACUCAAAUGGUUUAACUUUUGCAAAGUUAUAUGCAACUGAAAACAGGAUCUUAUAAUAAAAAAAUAUAUAUGGUAAAGAAGACUAACCAAACUACUACUAAUUAUACUAUGAAACUUAAAACUAUUUCUCUUUCGUCAUAGACAUUGGGAUGUCGCUACAGAGCUCCAUCUCAGGCCGGGGAUGGUUGAGAAGGAGAGGGGAUUGGGUCGUGCGUGUGAUAGAUGAGGCACUAACGGCGCUGCGAGACAACCACUGUGCAUGCAUGACCCAGACGGACACGGCUGAUGAAAUUCUCCGAUCAAUGGCGCUGGGGCGCUCCAACACCUGAAGUGGAGCACCCACAGGGGGACACAUCUUGAAGAACCUCAAUUACUGUACAAGGAGUACUGUCUCAGAGGCGGAGCCAAGAAGCAUGGCGGCUGUUGAGGCCUGACGUGCUUCCUCGAAGUGAACGGAGGAAGAGGCCCAGGGACCUGAGGGUAGCCCUUGAGUCCUUCAGGCCAUGUAGUCUCGCGUUCAUCUGCUCUGAAAAUAGUGACGGGCCUUCGAAAGGGAGGCCCUGGAUAGACUGCUGGAUCUCCUGAUCGAGUCCCGAUGACUGCAGCCAAGAGCAUCAUCUCAUGGUGACUACAGAGGUCAUUGUCCUGGCCGCCAUGUCUGCUGCGUCCAGUGCCUCCUGGAGAGAGGCUCUGGCAACAUUCUUUCCUUGUUCUAAGAUGGCUGAAAAUUCCUGCCAUAAGUCUUGAGACAUGGAGUCCUUAAAUUUGGACAGAGUCCCACAAAUUGUAGUCGUAUCUCCAGAGUAAGGCUUGCUGGUUUGAGAUACAUAGUUGUAGACUCCCUGUCAAAUAAACUUUCCUCCCAAACAGAUCAAGUUUCUUUGCAUCCUUCUGUUUGGGGGUAGCACUCAACUGGCUCUGGCUCUCCCAUUUGUUAGCCACCAGUAUGGAUGAGGGACCCAGGAGGGGGUGAGAGUACAGAUACUCAUACCCACUCACUGGCACAUAAUAUUUCUUCUCUGUGCUCUUUGAAGUGGGGAAUGGGGGGGAAGAAAAGAUGGGGUCUUCCACAGGACUCUGAACAGACUUAUUACCGCCUCACUAAUGGGUAAGACUAAUUUAGAUGGAACUGCUGCAACCAGAAUGUCAAUGAGGCUGUGAGAGGAUUCCUGAAUGCCUCAAUCUCAAGCCCCAGGUUAGCGGCUAUUCGCUUUAAAAGCUCUUGAUGAGCCCUAAAGUCAUCUUCGGGAAGCGAGCUGCUCGGCCCCAAGUCGGCCUCAUCCGGGGAAGAGGAGGAAGAGGCCUGUACUGGAGGAGGGGCCACCAUCUUCAGCUUCUUCUUCAGCCUCAAUAACCUCCAAAGGGGCCACAUUUUGUAAAUCAGUACUGGAUUGGUACUGGAAUCAGGGUCUUGUGCCAAUCAUGGAGGAACAGGAGCCUGCCUCUCAGAAGCAACCAAGUAUGAAUGGUGGGAGGGUAGACCUAGUACCGGGGGAAUCUCCCAAGGGUUUCAGUAUGGCCACUUCAUAGACCACUAUCCUCCUGCCACGUACCAGUGGGGGAACCCGCACCAAGGUCCUUCGGCAUGAAGUACGGGUACUGGCGGCCCUAAAGUUUAACUUAUAGGGUUCUGCAUCAGACUCAGAUGAAGAAUCCUCCCUAGGCAACCACAGGGGAGUGGUACCUCUCACUGCCUCCAAUCAGUGCCAAGGGUCCAGUGACCAGUGACAGGCUGGGGACAACCUCGCAGAGGACAGAAAAGUUGGCCUGCGUCUAAAAAGCAGUCAGUGGCCCAGUGCCAGGAAGGAGCUCAGAGCACCAUGCUCUCUCCUACUCAAGGACGACAAAGCCGGCAGCUGACCUAAUGGGGUCGGCAGGACCAGGAGUGACAACAAGUCUCUGGCUACUGUUUGCAGGGUUGAAGGCACUGCAGUUCCGCUGGUGCCGCGAUGACUUCCUGCUGUCGGCGGAAGGUCCCGCAUUAGACUCUAUGGAGUAGAUGGUGCUGCCAUGGGACCAGGGGUGGAAGAGUGCCCAAUGCAGUCGCACUCCACUGCCUUCCCCUUGCUUGCCUUUCUUUGACACUGGCGAGCGCCCCUAUUGGAAUGCUACUUUUUGUGCUUCUUCCUCAGUCUGCCUGGUGGAGAGCAGUGCCGGAGGAGCACUUUGCACCAAGUUCCGAGGCUGGUCUAAGAGCAGCUUCCUUUAGGAUAGCCUUAAGUCUGACUGCGCUGUCCUUCUUUGUGCAAAGUCCCGAUAAAUUUAGCAGAGGUCUUUCAUGUGAGAUUCUCCCAGACAACUGGAGUGUGGGUCAUUUACAAGCAUAGACUGCCACAGGAGGCACAAGGUUUGAGGUGAGGGUGCUAACUAUCUACAUUAAAAGUGCAGCCUGCCAUGUUUUAAGGUCAUGCCAGGAAUACCAAGAGGGAUGCACUGAAACAAAAAUAACUCUGGGAGGACAUUCAUCUUCAGCGAGGCUACCCUACCUAGCCGAGAAAUUUCAUAUUUGUUCCAUUCCCCCAGGUAUUUUAUUAUUUUAUUUUAAAGAUUGCUUUACCCAUUUAAAUGUAUAUAGCUGACAACAGUUUAUUUUGAUCCUUUUGGGAAUAUUAAUUCCUAAAAUUUCACGUUUAUUUUGAAGCCUGAUACCUGCCCAAAUUCCAAAUCAACUGUUCCAUAAUUUUUAGCACGUUUUGCUGCCCUUUAACAAGGGUUGGUUUCUCAUAUUUAUUUGAAAUGGCUCCAUUGUCAAAGCAAACAGAGGAUAAGGGGAAGGCUUGUCUUGUACCCCUAGACAAAUUAAAAGGAGGUGAUUGUC